RNAcentral lists this unclassified non-coding RNA (240 nucleotides) under Hevea brasiliensis (rubber tree). Lineage: Eukaryota; Viridiplantae; Streptophyta; Magnoliopsida; Malpighiales; Euphorbiaceae. The record is from RNAcentral.
UGAUAUAUAAAUUGAAAUUGAUAUUAAUUUUGCUCAACAUAUACAUCCAAUGGUUCAGAAAUUACUAUUGACAUCAACUAAUUUCCCAUUGACUGGUAAUGGGCACUUAAUUAGCAUUACAACAUCCGUUAUUAUUAAUUAAUUUUAUUAUUGUUAACGCAUACAUGUAGGAAUUAAACGAAUUAUAUGUACUUGACAACCACCUUGUUGUCAUAUGUACUUGACAACCACCUUGUUGUC